Molecule: ribosomal RNA, 1436 nt
Filed under: bioreactor sludge metagenome
Description: bacterial LSU rRNA
Rfam family: Bacterial large subunit ribosomal RNA
Source: RNAcentral
GAGGGGAGUGAAAUAGUACCUGAAACCGUUUGCUUACAAGCAGUCGGAGCGCCUUCGGGCGUGACGGCGUGCCUUUUGCAUAAUGAGCCGGCUAGUAGAUGUCACAGGCAAGGUUAAACGAUAAGUGAGCCGAAGCGAAAGCGAGUCUGAAUAGGGCGAUAAGUCUGUGGUAUCUGGACGUGAAACGGGAUGAUCUAGGCAUGGGCAGGAUGAAGCGUGGGUAACACCACGUGGAGGUCCGAACCAGUAUGGGUUGAAAACCGUUUGGAUGACCUGUGCCUAGGGGUGAAAGGCCAAUCAAAUUCCGUGAUAGCUCGUUCUCGCCGAAAUAUCUUUAGGGAUAGCCUCGGAUGUAUCAUCGUGGUGGUAAAGCACUGACUGGGCUAGGGGCCUCACAAGGUUACCGAACUCAAUCAAACUCUGAAUGCCAUGAAUGUCUGUCCGGGAGUCAGACCACGGGUGCUAAGAUUCGUGGUCGAGAGGGAAACAACCCAGACCAACAGCUAAGGUCCCGAAGUGAUAGUUAAGUGGAAAAGGAAGUGGGGAAGCACUGACAGCCAGGAGGUUUGCUUAGAAGCAGCAAUCCUUUAAAGAAAGCGUAAUAGCUCACUGGUCAAGUAGCCCUGCACCGACAAUAUAACGGGGCUUAAACUAUCCACCGAAGCUUUGGAUGCGUAAGCAUGGUAGGCGAGCACUCUGUAUCUGUGAAGCGGACUCGAAAGGGCCGUUGGAGAAAUCAGAGAAGACUUUGUCGGCAUUAGUAGCGAUAACGCGUGUGAGAACCACGCGCACCGAAAACCUAAGGUUUCCUGCGUCAAGUUAAUCUGCGCAGGGUUAGUCUGUACCUAAGGCGAGGCCGAAAGGCGUAGUCGAUGGAGAUCCGGUUAAUAUUCCGGAACCAUGGGUUUGUGAUGUGGGUUGACGCAACAGGGUAGGCAAGACGGCUGAUGGAUGCCGUUGAAGUAAAUAGGCCGUCGCUUAGGCAAAUCCGGGCGACACAAGGCUAAAUAUACGGACAAAAGUACGAAGCUUCGGCUUCGGAACAAGUUGCUGACCCCAGUUGCCAAGAAAAUUCCCGUUCAUCUAUACAAACUCCACUGGCAGUACCGCAAACCGACACAGGUAGGUGGGAUGAGAAUUCUAAGGUGCUUGUGAGAACCCUCGUUCAGGAACUCGGCAAAAUGUACCCGUAACUUCGGGAGAAGGGUAGCCUAGUGAUGAACUAGGCCGCAGUGAAAUGUCUCAGGCGACUGUUUAACAAAAACACAGGUCUCCGCUAAGUUGUAAAGACGACGUAUGGGGGCUGACGCCUGCCCAAUGCUGGAAGGUUAAGAGGAGUGGUUAGUCGAAAGGCGAAGCUGCGAAUCGAAGCCCCAGUGAAUGGCGGCCGUAACUAUAACGGUCCUAAGGUAGCGAAAUUCCUUGUCGGGUAAGUU